GCUGGUGGUGCCGGCUGGAAGACAGCAGUCUGAUCUCCUCCAAUCUCAGAAGUUAAGCAGGGUCAGGCCUGGUUAGUACUCGGUUGGGAGACCGUGUGGGAAUACCGGAUGCUAUUGGCU
Molecule: ribosomal RNA, 120 nt
Organism: Cercocebus atys (sooty mangabey)
Lineage: Eukaryota; Metazoa; Chordata; Mammalia; Primates; Cercopithecidae
Source: Ensembl